This is a long non-coding RNA of Nannospalax galili (Upper Galilee mountains blind mole rat), 732 nucleotides long. RefSeq lists it as uncharacterized. The transcript is spliced from 4 exons. NCBI's taxonomy places the organism in Eukaryota, Metazoa, Chordata, Mammalia, Rodentia, Spalacidae. The record is from RefSeq and is a predicted model, not a curated record.
CUUGGGGGUGGGGCGCCCUGGACAGCUGGACGUGAGAGCUGCGCGGUUUCCGGCCUCGCCUGCCUCCGAUCACGUGGGAGCAGGGCGGUUGGCUCCGAGAGCACGACGCCGAGGCAUCCCGGUUGUCACGGUCACCCUUCAGGUCCUUUCCCGGGUUCGCUGGGGCAGUGAGGCGCCCUGGGGGGAGGCCGCAGACUGUGCCGCCCCGCGCUCUGGGCCCCGGCUGUCCCCGCCCAAGGCUGCGGUCCACUUUGCGUUGCCUUUGCAACGUCCUAAGUUUACAGGACAGAGCCUGAGUACUCCAACAAUGGCUGCACUACACUGAAGAGGCAGUUGCUUAGUCCACGAGGUUGGAUGUCACAGUAGUCCCGUUCUGGUGCUGAAGGCCUGAUGUAUUCUGGGAGAACUGCUACUCUUCAGUUUAGGUUGGAACUCUAAGAAGUUGGUCACAGCAGCGAGACGAACUCACCAGUGGGCAGGAAGGUCAAUCAAGUCAACAUCAUCUAACCCAUUGAAAAGUUUGGAGAAAAUGAGAGUUAAGAGCAGAAGCCUUGUGACUGUUAAAUUAUCAUCAAAUCAGAGAGAGGAAGAAGUGGUAUCAACCAGUUAAUGGAACUUGUAACUGCUAAUAUCACUCAAGCAAACGCAUCUGAGAGUCAAAGUUUCAGCCGCUGCUGGAGACUGUGGAUUGAGGACGCACUGCUCUGGAGCUUCUCAGUGACUGUGUCUUUU